RNAcentral lists this long non-coding RNA (1159 nucleotides) under Vulpes vulpes (red fox). Its description in RNAcentral is "lncRNA (ENSVVUG00000029944.1)". The record is from RNAcentral. Lineage: Eukaryota; Metazoa; Chordata; Mammalia; Carnivora; Canidae.
UUAGUCUCAGGGCGGACAGACUUUGUCUUUAGAGGCAAAGGGAAUCUGGUUAUGAUAGGGAGACCUAGCUGAUCUCACAAUUGGGGUUUAUCUAGAGAGCAAUGCAAGGCUUCGUUGGCAGCUUUUCUUUUCUUUGACUUCACCUGAAUUUCUGUGUUUCCAUUCAUGAAGUGGUUAAGAGCCAUCGUGCUUCCCCUCAUGGAGAUGUAGAGGAUGUGGUGGGCAAGUUGAUAUAGAUGCCAUUGGAAGAAGUCAGAUCUGCCCUCCACAUGUAUUGUCACCAUAUGGGAGUCUUGCAGAAACUUUGGCACUCACGUUUGGUGCUGUGAGUAGUGUUGGCCCAGCCACAUAAAUUAGGAGCUCCGGACCUAUUCCUGGAUUGUCAGCUUUCGGCCAGAAUGAAUUCUUGCAAAAAUAUAGGUGGCCUCCAGUGAAUCUGAAUGACUGUAUUUUGCAUCCAUGGAUCAUUUAUAGACACAGAGGCAGAAAGCUGGGAAAAAAGACCACGAGAGACAUCUGAAUUUCACUGACGCUGGACACCCUACAUCAAUAUCCCGUACAUCUACAGAAUCAACAAAUUCUCCAAAGUGAUCUCUCACAGAAGUAAAGGAGGAAUUGACCCCCAGACAAGGGCUGAACUUCUAGAUGGCAGAAACAAUCACAGUUCUUCAUUUGAGUCCCACGAAUAGAAUUCAGGAGUUCAUGAACUUGGAUGUCAAAAAAAAUUACAUCUUUCCACCGACCUCUCAUGAACCUGGAUGCUUUCCCUGAGGGAUCCUCUCUCCUCACCUUCUCAUGCCCAUGUCCUUGAGUGUCUCAGCCACUUUUGAAGAUCUGUUCCUGAGGAAAUUGAGAAUAUUCCUGGCUUCCACGGGAACAGGCCUCCAUUGUGCGCCACUGCCCUGGGCUGCUUGGCAAGGGUGCUGUCUGCAGCCUCAUGAGAGACCCUCUUGGAGAGUGUGUGAGGACCCUGGGGAGCAGAACUCAGCUCCUCCAAGAAGCAGCCACAAGACAUACCCAGACUCACCCCUACUCUGACCUGGGCUGAGCAUGCACGAGUCAUGGGCCAGCUGCCUUCUGCUCCCCUCUUCUAAGCAUCUAGUGCCACAGAACCAUCCAAGCCUCAUGAACAGGAAAUAAAGGUGCCCAGAGCUUGGCA